This 366-nucleotide long non-coding RNA is filed under the name Capsicum annuum. Its description in RNAcentral is "long non-coding RNA (CANN_LNC017213)". The record is from RNAcentral. Lineage: Eukaryota; Viridiplantae; Streptophyta; Magnoliopsida; Solanales; Solanaceae.
UCGGUUUACUAGGACGGGGUGGGGGAUUACUCUCUUACUCAAGAGCCUUUUGGCAUAGCAGGGCUCACACCGGGAUCAUCAGGACAUAGAAGGUUCCAAGAUGGACCUCAAUCUAUGGGUAAUGCACCAGCACCACAGGGUGGUCAUGGAGGGGCUCCGGCGACAACAAUACCCACUAAUACCGUUCGAAAUUUACUAUCUAAAGUUGGUCGACUCAAUUUUCCUAGGUUUGAUGGAACCGAACUUAGAUCUUGGCUUUACAAAAUCGAAUAAUCUUUUUCCAUAGAUAACAUCCAUCCUUCUCUAUGUGUGAAAAUAGCCUUUACCCAUCUCGAUGGAAUCACUAUAGAAUGACAUCAAGGAUUU